RNAcentral lists this ribosomal RNA (663 nucleotides) under Mycolicibacterium llatzerense. RNAcentral's name for it is "bacterial SSU rRNA". It matches the Rfam family "Bacterial small subunit ribosomal RNA", at positions 112 to 789 of the family's 1533-position model. Lineage: Bacteria; Bacillati; Actinomycetota; Actinomycetes; Mycobacteriales; Mycobacteriaceae. The record is from RNAcentral.
AACACGUGGGUGAUCUGCCCUGCACUUUGGGAUAAGCCUGGGAAACUGGGUCUAAUACCGAAUAUGACCACGCUCUUCAUGGGGUGUGGUGGAAAGCUUUUGCGGUGUGGGAUGGGCCCGCGGCCUAUCAGCUUGUUGGUGGGGUAAUGGCCUACCAAGGCGACGACGGGUAGCCGGCCUGAGAGGGUGACCGGCCACACUGGGACUGAGAUACGGCCCAGACUCCUACGGGAGGCAGCAGUGGGGAAUAUUGCACAAUGGGCGCAAGCCUGAUGCAGCGACGCCGCGUGAGGGAUGACGGCCUUCGGGUUGUAAACCUCUUUCACCAGGGACGAAGCGCAAGUGACGGUACCUGGAGAAGAAGCACCGGCCAACUACGUGCCAGCAGCCGCGGUAAUACGUAGGGUGCGAGCGUUGUCCGGAAUUACUGGGCGUAAAGAGCUCGUAGGUGGUUUGUCGCGUUGUUCGUGAAAACUCACAGCUUAACUGUGGGCGUGCGGGCGAUACGGGCAGACUAGAGUACUGCAGGGGAGACUGGAAUUCCUGGUGUAGCGGUGGAAUGCGCAGAUAUCAGGAGGAACACCGGUGGCGAAGGCGGGUCUCUGGGCAGUAACUGACGCUGAGGAGCGAAAGCGUGGGGAGCGAACAGGAUUAGAUACCCUG